This is a long non-coding RNA of Lingula anatina, 1171 nucleotides long. The record is from RefSeq and is a predicted model, not a curated record. Lineage: Eukaryota; Metazoa; Brachiopoda; Lingulata; Lingulida; Lingulidae.
GCAUCAAUUCCAAUCGCAAUCUCACCUCUUGAGUGAUUUGUCAGGCUGUCCGAAAGUUAUUUUGUUGUUGUGCCACGUAGCUCCGAUUGGUUUGAAAACCAUGACUCGUGGAAAUCAACGUGAGAAAGCAAGAGAAAAAAAUCAGAAAAAGCAGCAGCAGCAGGAUAAAGCCAAGGGUGCUGCAGCUAAGGGUGCCAAUGCUGGGAUGUCUUUGGAAGAGAGAAGACACAGAGAUGCUGAGAUUAUGAGACAAAAACAAGAGAAGAAAGCAGCCCAGGCCCAGGGAGCAAGUGGAGGUGCUAAAGGAGGGAAAUAAACACAAGUGCAAAUGGAAACUGUAUUCUGAAAACAUGAACUGGACAUAUCUUGAUCUGAGAUUCUGGACUUAACCCAUUACAGAUAUUUAGAUAGGAAAUGUUUAUCUACAGGCAUAUGUCCCUCUUGCUGUAACAGCUGAUGUCAAGCAUAGGCUCAUGCUCUUUUAAAAUACAUCUACAAGUGAUGCAUUGGCUGGUAUCAAGACAAAGGCGCAUUUUGUACAACUGAUGAGUAUGAAUGAUAUUAAUUUGAUAUAUCCUAUUUGUCUCUUCUCACAUAAACUGAUAAAGUACUUAGAAUAUGUUAUUAAAUAUGACUGAUAAGGCCUGCUCAUGAUUCUUGCUAAAUGUUAUUAGAGCAGUUUUGGGAUUUUGAUAGGUUUUGGAUGUCCAUGCAUUGCUUCAAUACACACAGCGAUACACAUUUGUAUGUCAUUUAUUUGAAGAAAACAAAACCAUUUUGCAUCUUUGCUAACAUUAUAGAACAAUGACUUCACUUUAUUAUUUUUACUGAACAAUUCCAUUUUCAUUUUAGUCAUUAGUAAGUUAUAUGCCAUCAGUACUGGAAAAUUUAUGAAGAAUGUUUCUCUGUGGCAUUGUAUUGAUCAUAUUGUAAACUUGCUUCUCAUUUUCUCCAUUCUUUUAUGAAGAAAAAAAGUUCAUUACAUAUAAAUUAUGCAAAAUAUAUCAUAUAUCAUAACCAGGCAAUUUUUCUGGUUCUAGUUUUAGUCCUUGAUUUCAUUGCCAAACAAAAGUUACUCAGUUUUUGUAAGAUGGAAAUGUUUGCAACAGAUCCAUCACUUAUUGUACUUUUUCAAGGUCAUGGGCAUUAAAUAAAUUGUGAAUUUUUAAAA